AACUUUCAGCAAUGGAUCUCUUGGUUCCGGCAUCGAUGAAGAACGCAGCGAAAUGCGAUAACUAAUGUGAAUUGCAGAAUUCAGUGAAUCAUCGAGUCUUUGAACGCACAUUGCGCCCCCUGGUAUUCCGGGGGGCAUGCCUGUCCGAGCGUCAUUGCUGCCCUCAAGCACGGCUUGUGUGUUGGGCUCCGUCCCCCCGGGGACGGGCCCGAAAGGCAGCGGCGGCACCGAGUCCGGUCCUCGAGCGUAUGGGGCUUUGUCACCCGCUCUGUAGGCCCGGCCGGCGCCAGCCGACAACCCAUCAUCCUUUUCAGGUUGACCUCGGAUCAGGUAGGGAUACCCGCUGAACUUAAGCAUAUCAAUAAGCGGAGGCU
Molecule: unclassified non-coding RNA, 374 nt
Filed under: uncultured Penicillium
Lineage: Eukaryota; Fungi; Ascomycota; Eurotiomycetes; Eurotiales; Aspergillaceae
Description: sequence contains ITS2
Rfam family: 5.8S ribosomal RNA (bases 1-154)
Source: RNAcentral